AGCAGCCACCAUUGAAAGAGUGCGUAAUAGCUCACUGGUCGAGUGACCCCGCGCCGAAAAUGUACCGGGGCUAAACAUAUUACCGAAACUGUGGAUGAACCUCUUUAGAGGUUCGUGGUAGGAGAGCGUUCUAAGGGCGGUGAAGUCAGACCGGAAGGACUGGUGGAGCGCUUAGAAGUGAGAAUGCCGGUAUGAGUAGCGAAAGAAGGGUGAGAAUCCCUUCCACCGAAUAUCUAAGGUUUCCUGAGGAAGGCUCGUCCGCUCAGGGUUAGUCGGGACCUAAGCCGAGGCCGAUAGGCGUAGGCGAUGGACAACAGGUAGAGAUUCCUGUACCAGUGCUAAUUGUUUAACCGAUGGGGUGACACAGAAGGAUAGGGAAUCGCACGAAUGGAAAUGUGCGUCCAAGCAGUGAGUGUGAGAAGUAGGCAAAUCCGCUUCUCGCGAAGCAUGAGCUGUGAUGGGGAAGGAAAUUAAGUACGGAAGUUCCUGAUUUCACGCUGUCAAGAAAAGCCUCUAGGAAGAGUAGUACUGCCCGUACCGCAAACCGACACAGGUAGAUGAGGAGAGAAUCCUAAGGUGAGCGAGAGAACUCUCGUUAAGGAACUCGGCAAAAUGACCCCGUAACUUCGGGAGAAGGGGUGCUCUAUUAGGGUGCAAGCCCGAGAGAGCCGCAGUGAAUAGGCCCAGGCGACUGUUUAGCAAAAACACAGGUCUCUGCAAAACCGUAAGGUGACGUAUAGGGGCUGACGCCUGCCCGGUGCUGGAAGGUUAAGAGGAGUGCUUAGCUUCGGCGAAGGUACGAAUUGAAGCCCCAGUAAACGGCGGCCGUAACUAUAACGGUCCUAAGGUAGCGAAAUUCCUUGUCGGGUAAGUUCCGACCCGCACGAAAGGCGCAACGAUCUGGGCACUGUCUCAACGAGAGACUCGGUGAAAUUAUAGUACCUGUGAAGAUGCAGGUUACCCGCGACAGGACGGAAAGACCCCGUGGAGCUUUACUGCAACCUGAUAUGGAAUGUUUGUACCGCUUGUACAGGAUAGGUAGGAGCCGAAGAGACGUGUGCGCUAGCAUACGAGGAGGCAAUGGUGGGAUACUACCCUGGCUGUAUGACCAUUCUAACCCGCCACGCUUAGCGCGUGGGGAGACAGUGUCAGGUGGGCAGUUUGACUGGGGCGGUCGCCUCCUAAAGAGUAACGGAGGCGCCCAAAGGUUCCCUCAGAAUGGAUGGAAAUCAUUCGCAGAGUGUAAAGGCACAAGGGAGCUUGACUGCGAGACUGACAAGUCGAGCAGGGACGAAAGUCGGGCUUAGUGAUCCGGUGGUUCCGCAUGGAAGGGCCAUCGCUCAACGGAUAAAAGCUACCCCGGGGAUAACAGGCUUAUCUCCCCCAAGAGUCCACAUCGACGGGGAGGUUUGGCACCUCGAUGUCGGCUCGUCGCAUCCUGGGGCUGUAGUCGGUCCCAAGGGUUGGGCUGUUCGCCCAUUAAAGCGGCACGCGAGCUGGGUUCAGAACGUCGUGAGACAGUUCGGUCCCUAUCCGUCGCGGGCGCAGGAAAUUUGAGAGGAGCUGUCCUUAGUACGAGAGGACCGGGAUGGACACACCGCUGGUGUACCAGUUGUUCCGCCAGGAGCAUCGCUGGGUAGCUAUGUGUGGCAGGGAUAAACGCUGAAAGCAUCUAAGCGUGAAGCCCCCCUCAAGAUGAGAUUUCCCAUUUCUUCGGAAAGUAAGAUCCCUGAAAGAUGAUCAGGUAGAUAGGUUUGGAGUGGAAGUGUAGCGAUACAUGGAGCGGACAAAUACUAAUCGAUCGAGGACUUAACCAAAA
RNAcentral lists this ribosomal RNA (1819 nucleotides) under Listeria monocytogenes. RNAcentral's name for it is "partial 23S ribosomal RNA". It matches the Rfam family "Bacterial large subunit ribosomal RNA", at positions 1111 to 2925 of the family's 2925-position model. The record is from RNAcentral. Lineage: Bacteria; Bacillati; Bacillota; Bacilli; Caryophanales; Listeriaceae.